Molecule: RNA transcript, 4148 nt
Organism: Bubalus bubalis (water buffalo)
Lineage: Eukaryota; Metazoa; Chordata; Mammalia; Artiodactyla; Bovidae
Gene name: monocarboxylate transporter 1
Exons: 7
Source: RefSeq, a predicted model, not a curated record
CGGAACUCUGGAGAACACCGGCUGCGUGCGGAGCGCGUGGUGCAGAGGUGAGCUCUGCCCAGCGCCAUUCGGGUCUGUCCCGCCCACGCACACGCACACGCGGCGCCGGGAGCCGCGGACAUCGAUAUCUGGAUUUGAACUGGAUUUUAGAAUUCAUCUUUACUUACAAUGCCACCAUCAAAUGGAGGUCCGGCUGGAUAUACCCCACCAGAUGGAGGCUGGGGGUGGGCAGUGGUACUUGGAGCUUUCAUUUCCAUUGGCUUUGCUUGUGCAUUUGGCAAAUCUAUUAGUGUAUUUUACAAAGAAAUUGGAGAAAUAUUUAAAGCCAGCACCAGCGAAGUGUCAUGGUUAUCUUCCAUCGUGUUUGCUGUCAUGUAUGCUGGAGGUCCUAUCAGCAGUGUCCUGGUGAAUAAAUAUGGCAGUCGCCCCGUCAUGAUUCUUGGUGGCUGCUUGUCAGGCUGUGGCUUGAUUGCAGCUUCCUUCUGUAGCACUGUGAUGCAACUUUACCUUUGUAUCGGAGUUAUUGUAGGUCUUGGGCUUGCCUUCAACUUCAAUCCAGCUUUGACCAUGAUUGGCAAGUAUUUCUACAAGAAGCGGCCAUUAGCAAGUGGACUAGCCAUGGCAGGCAGCCCUGUGUUCCUCUCUGCCAUGGCCCCCCUCAACCAGGCUCUUUUUGCUACCUUUGGCUGGAGAGGAAGCUUCCUAAUUCUGGGGGGCCUCCUACUAAACUGCUGUGUGGCUGGAGCCCUGAUGAGACCAAUAGGGCCCAAGCCAACCACCACAGAGAAAGAGAAGUCUAAAGAAUUCCUUCAGGAAGCUGGAAAAUGUGAUACAAACAAGGGGGCAGGUAAUCCAAAGACAGGAGUUAAUGGUGGAAACUCCCCAAAGGAGAAACAAUCACUUUUUCAAAAAGUUAACAAACUUUUGGACCUAUCCCUGUUGAAGCACAGAGGCUUCCUGCUGUACCUCUCUGGGAAUGUGAUCAUGUCUUUUGGGGUGGCUACGCCCUUAGUCUUUAUUAGCAAUUACGCCAAGAGUCAACAUUACUCUGGUGAGAAGGCUGCCUUCCUUCUUUCCAUUCUGGCUUUUGUUGACAUGGUAGCCAGACCUUGUAUGGGAUUUGUAGCCAACACAAAGUGGGUAAGACCACGGAUUCAGUACUUUUUGGCUGCUUCUAUUACCGUGAACGGAGUAUGUCAUAUGCUAGUACCUUUAUCUUCCAGCUACAUAGGGUUCUGUGUCUACUCGGGAUUCCUUGGAUUUGCUUUUGGGUGGUUUGGUGCCGUACUGUUUGAAACGCUGAUGGACCUUGUGGGAGCCGAGAGAUUCUCCAGUGCUGUGGGAUUGGUAACCAUUGUGGAGUGCUGUCCUGUCCUCCUGGGACCACCAGUUUUAGGAGGUGUCCCGUCUGCUGUGAAAUUCUUGACACCUUCGGAAUUGUCAGGCUAGAAGGAGGGGGAUACAUAAGUGAGUAUGAGUUGGCUUUUCUGGAGACGGCCUGGGACAUGGGAUAUUUAACCCAUCUAUGUUUUCAUCCACACCUGAUCAAGCCCACUAAGACAGAACAGACUUUAAGGGAGAAACAGUCUUGGACCAUGUGGUGUUCUGGUUUGGCCUUGCUGACCGGCAAGUGAAGACAGGCCGAUCCCCCUUCUCCCUCUGGGAUCUGGCAGGAUUUGGAUGAGGAUGACCUGUCCCUCCCCCAUACUGGAUGAUGACGCGCCUGCUGGCCCAGUAUUCCACCAGGACCAGAGGCCGCCUUAAUGCCUGAUCCAGGGCCAGGUGAAGUUCCUGCAGCAGCCGCUGCGCCUCCACCAGCUCUCCCGGAGGUCAUAGAGCCCCCACCUCAGCGGGCUCCCAUCCUGGUGGCAGAAGCCUCUGGCCAACACUUCGAGGAUCUGGCUCCAGCUGAACCGCCCCAGCUAUACCCACCUCUCCCGAUCUCAAGGAUGCCUUCUUCUGCAUACACCUUGCCCCAGCAUCACAGCCCAUCCUUGCCUUUGAAUUGGGAAGAUCCAGUCAGGGGCACCAAACAACAGCUCACCUGGACUCCCCCACAAGGGUUUAAGAAUUCCCCAACCAUCUUUGGGGAAGCCUUGGCUUCUGACCUGGACUCAUUCCACCCGGAAAAGUACAGAUGUUGGCUCCUACAAUACGUGGAUGACCUGCUGCUGGUUGCCGAGACCAAGGAAAAAUGCUGGAAAGGGACAAAAGCACUGUUCCGGCUGCUGAUGGAAGCAGGUUACUGGGUGUCGAAGAAGAAGGCACAGAUCUGCAAGGAGUUAAAGUUACAGGUAUUGCCCCUUGGAUCCAUCAUACGGGGGUGAAGAGAGCAUAGCACGCAGACCCAGAAAACCCUGAGUGGACUGCACAGAGGGACCCCGCUGACCCUCGAGAGACUAAGACCAUCCUUAAGAAGAAGGAAAAGAAGAUCCCAGAGCCCCUUGAGGAUGAAGCCACAUAAUCAACUCCUGCUGCUUGGUCUCAUCAACGUGCACAUUCCUACGCCAACUUCCACAAUUCCUCCAACUGUUGGAACCACCAUCAACACGCAGACCAGAGUGUGAACUUCUUGAGCAAAGAGACACCUCUUUUGAUUGGAGAGUUGAGGAAGCUUCCUGGAAGAGGUGUCUUGUCAGCUGACCCUGAAUUGUUGGAUUGGGGUAGGUAAAUAGGGGAAGGAUGGCAUCUCUCCUGGAAAGAAAAAAACAGAGAUAGGUAUAGAGAGACCAAUGGUAUAAACCAACUAGACUUUGAAACUUUGCAAAUUAUCUUAAUUGAGGAACCGUGUGUUAACAGACAUUACAUCAGGCCCCAGGCUGGGCUAGGAAGAUAGAAUGCUGAAUAAGAAGCUUUUUGUCCUUUGGGAGCAAGAGAAGGAAAUUGGUGCUUACAAUCACAGUAUGAGGAGGACCCCAAAAGUCCAAGGACUCAAAAGUGAAUCAAGGGCAGAGAGUUUCCCAAGCCCAGGUCUGAUGAGGGCAGAGGACAUCCCCGUGGGCCUAUGGGCUGCCUUGGAGAAAUGCUGAAGUGGCAUCUAUGUUCUACACCCAUCCCCCCAACCUCCUCCUCCUUUGGAGUGAAGGUGGUGGGUUAGUACUGAGUAGGAAGUGAAUGCCCCUAUUCCUUGAGCCCAGUUCUCCAGGAAUUAAGGUCCCAAUUAUAGAAGAGGCAAUCAGAGGUUAAGGUAGCACAUCUAAAAUUAUUGAGAAGAAAACAGUAUUACAUGCCUAAAGAAAAUUUAUCAAAAGAAAACACAAGAUAGGAAAAGGUGUUCCACCAGGAGUGUAAGCUCCAACUUUGAAUAUCUGAAGAUUCCAUCUCUGGUAUGCAGACAAAGAUGGGUUUGUGGUAGCAUUCAAGUAUGUGCUAAAGGUAUAAAACAAUGAAUGAGUGAAUGAAGACUCAAAAGAUGGAUCUUCUGGGGUGGGGACUCACACACAAACUGCCCUGCUACGUGCCCUCCAAGGUAGCCUAAGACUGGUGUCCUUUAAACACCUGAAACAUCAACCACUUCUUUUGGGUUUAUUUUUCUCCCCACCAGCAGUACGUGGCUCACCUCCCCCACCCAAGUUUCUAUUAGCCAAAGAAACUGAGAAUGCUCAACAUGCUGGAAGGACAUUCCAGAUGCCUGAAACCCUACUGCAAGAAUCCCCUGCUAGCAGAGGACAGAUUACAUAGGCCCAUAUAGCUCUAGAAGCAUAGAGGUUGAUAGGCUGACCAAGUCAGGGAAAACCUCUUGAUGGAGGUUACCCUUGAUCGUCAUGAAAUCUGGAUUUAAUUUUGAUGCCUCUGGAUAGGAAAUGAUUCCCUGGUAGAUGAGUUCAAUAAGAUAGAUGAGGUCAUUAAGCCUUUAGUGGGCUUUGAAUUAUCUUCACUCAAAGAAUAUGGAAGAGAUUAAUACUGAGAUUCUGUAGUUUGACCUCUUCAAAAGAGUCAGAAAUCAUAGUCAAGAACUUUGUAAGUUUUAUUAAUUGUAUAAUUUGUUUACUUUCUUUCUACCAUUAUUAUUUGGAACCCCAUACUGUGCUAAGUCACUUGGGUUGUGUCCGACUCUUUGCAACCCUAUGGACAGCAGCCUGCCAGGCUCCUCUGGAGUGGCUUGCCAUUUCCUCCUUCAGGGGAUCUUCCCGACCCAGGGAUUGAAC